GAAGACAGAAGAUCAUGGUACAAGUUCAGUGUCGGACACCAGUCCGAACUGCUCGUUAACGACUUCGGAUCGCAGCCAGGAUACAAAAGCAUCCGGCGGCGUGCGACGGCGUGGAUUCACUGAACCACAUGAUAGUGGUUGUACUUGUGGGCGGAGCCUCAAGGAUCCUGGUCCGGAAGACAUUUCUAUCGGUGUUCCACAGUAUGUGCAUGCUUUUAGCACCUCCAACCCAUCUAUGAUCGUUCUUAUUGAAAUGCUGAAACAGCAGCUCGCCAUGACGAGACAGUUCAUGGACCGCAGCCGCCAUCUGCACUGGAGUCUGGUCCAGAGUCUGGAACCACCAAACUACAAAUACACCAGCCUGAAGGACACCAAGAGGGUAACGAGG
RNAcentral lists this long non-coding RNA (388 nucleotides) under Sphaeramia orbicularis (orbiculate cardinalfish). RNAcentral describes it as "lncRNA (ENSSORG00005004055.1)". Lineage: Eukaryota; Metazoa; Chordata; Actinopteri; Kurtiformes; Apogonidae. The record is from RNAcentral.